Molecule: ribosomal RNA, 494 nt
Filed under: uncultured bacterium
Lineage: Bacteria
Description: partial 16S ribosomal RNA
Rfam family: Bacterial small subunit ribosomal RNA
Source: RNAcentral
GACGAACGCUGGCGGCGCGCUUAACACAUGCAAGUCGAACGGAAAGGCCUGCUUUCCCUUGUGGAUUGCGGGUACUCGAGUGGCGAACGGGUGAGUAACACGUGAGUGAUCUGCCCCCAACUUGGGUAUAAGCCUGGGAAACUGGGUCUAAUUCCCGAUAGGACUGCAGGGUGGUGCCUGUGGUGGAAAACGAUCUUCUAGUGGUUGGGGAUGAGCUCGCGGCCUAUCAGCUUGUUGGUGGGGUAAUGGCCUACCAAGGCGGCGACGGGUAGCCGGCCUGGGAGGGUGGACGGCCGCAUUGGGACUGAGAUACGGCCCAGACUCCUACGGGAGGCAGCAGUGGGGAAUAUUGCACAAUGGGCGGAAGCCUGAUGCAGCGACGCCGCGUGGGGGAUGACGGCCUUCGGGUUGUAAACUCCUUUCGACCGCGAGGAAGCCACCUGGUUGGAAGGGUGGUGACGGUAGUGGUAGAAGAAGCACCGGCUAACUACGUG